CCACACUUUAACUUAUGUUGAAAGCUGAAUUUUUUGGUCCUUUUGCUUCAUAAGGACAUUAAUAUUUCUGUGACCUUUACAGGAUGGCAGCUGAGGAGCAUUAAAUAACCCAACAAACCUAAGAAAGUCAAUAAUUUAAGAUGCAUAUUCUGAUCUGGGUCUUAAAAAAGUCCCAGAGGAAGUGAUUCCUUUCCAAAAGGAAAGAUAGGGUGGCUACAACAUUUACUUAUGGCACCCUGACACUUAUAGGUUCCUCUUGUUCAACUUCCCUUUACAUGAAAUCUAAGUGCUGAGAACACCCCGGUGGCUUGGGCAGUGCUGGGGUAGGGGACGGGAAGGAUGCUGUCUUUCUGGCUUGGCUACUGAGCUGAUUAUGCCCCUGCUGGGACCAAGGUGAUAAACAUUGAAAUCAGGUGGGGUCUUCUGCUUCCUCUGGAAUGAGCAGGGAGACGCGGGAGGGGCAGAGGCCCCUAUUUCCAUUCUUUGGAGCAGCGUCAGCUACAGGCAGUAUCUGAAGGCCUACACAUUCCACUGUUCAGUGUUGGCAGCACCGGCUGGCAUAGGAGAAAAACGAAGGAUCAGAAUGCCGUGGAUACGGGCUCAAGCCUUGGAGGUUUCUUGUUUUAAAGCUGGCCCACUCAAUACAAGGGCCUGCCUUUCUCCUCGGCUCCCCAGAUACUACUGACCUGAUGGUCCUUCUGAUCUCUCCACCCUGGACCUCUGAGGACGGCGGGUGGUCCCUCACUCAUAAUAGAAUCCAGACUCCCGUGCUUGUCCUUUGGUCUCAGGGUAUUUCCUCGGCCUAAUGUUCCCGCCCUGUCUCUAC
RNAcentral lists this long non-coding RNA (826 nucleotides) under Ornithorhynchus anatinus (platypus). Its description in RNAcentral is "lncRNA (ENSOANG00000036868.1)". The record is from RNAcentral. Lineage: Eukaryota; Metazoa; Chordata; Mammalia; Monotremata; Ornithorhynchidae.